Molecule: ribosomal RNA, 302 nt
Filed under: Tryblionella compressa
Lineage: Eukaryota; Bacillariophyta; Bacillariophyceae; Bacillariales; Bacillariaceae
Description: partial Bacterial large subunit ribosomal RNA
Rfam family: Bacterial large subunit ribosomal RNA
Source: RNAcentral
GGUAGAGGAGCAUUGUAUUAGGGGUGAAGCCCAAGCGAAAGCAGGUGUGGACUUAAUACAAGAGAGAAUGCUGGCAUGAGUAGCGAGAAGGAGUGUGAGAAUCACUCCCGUCGAAACCCUAAGGACUCCUGAGCAAGGCUCGUCCCCUCAGGGAAAGUCGGGACCUAAGGUGAGGCCAAAAGGCGUAGCCGAUGGAUAACAGGUUUAUAUUCCUGUACCGCUUAAAGUCGCUAAUAGAGAAGUGAUGACGCAAGAGGAUAAGCUAAGCUGCCCGAUGGAUGGCAGUCUAAGCACAAAGGCUG